AUGUUCUGGGAGUGUCAAGCAUUUAUUUUCAAGGUCGACAGUUCCUCGUCGAACAUUGGACCUUUUACCAAGUAUGGGGUCGCUUCAGGCAAGAGGAAUAAGUUUUCCUUCGCUGCUAUCUUGGUCGCAUGCUCCUUUCAGCAAGAACGUAACAACUUGAUGUUUGAAUGGUUCAAGGCUUAUGCUUUGUGCUUUGUAUCUCUCUGUCCGACAAGGUUUAUGCUUAUCCCAAUUUUCAGAACAUGUUCUGGGAGUGUCAAGCAUUUAUUUUCAAGGUCGACAGUUCCUCGUCGAACGGUGGACCUUUUACCAAGUAUGGGGUCGCUUCAGGCAAGAGGAAUAAGUUUUCCUUCGCUGCUAUCUUGGUCGCAUGCUCCUUUCAGCAAGAAUGUAACAACUUGA
This 402-nucleotide ribosomal RNA is filed under the name Triticum aestivum (bread wheat). Its description in RNAcentral is "partial small subunit ribosomal RNA". The record is from RNAcentral. Lineage: Eukaryota; Viridiplantae; Streptophyta; Magnoliopsida; Poales; Poaceae.